Brassica napus (rape) is the source of this 80-nucleotide non-coding RNA. NCBI's taxonomy places the organism in Eukaryota, Viridiplantae, Streptophyta, Magnoliopsida, Brassicales, Brassicaceae. The record is from Rfam.
UAGCCUUUGAAUCUCUCCCAGGCUUCACUGAAUCCUUCCAAGUUCUUCUGUUGGAAACUGGCGAUCUCAUUUCUCAGCUU